AAACCACGAAAACAGCAUUUAUUGUUAGUUCAAUUCAACUCUUUAAUCUAUCCUUGACCUCCAAUAGGAAUGGCUUUUUUUUUUUAUUCUUUCUUUUCUCAAAUUGUGAGGGUUGAGUGUUUACAGCGAAUGGGUGUAAUGUUUUGCCAUCAGAACGAGAUUGGGACACUGAGAGAAGGAACUGCUUUGAUAGGAGACAAACUCUCCCCAUGGAACAUUUGCCAACAUGCUUUUCUCCGCCGCAGGGUUGUAAGGUUGCACAAGGAAAAUAUUAAGCCUUUUACAGAGGGGAAGAGGAUGGGCCAAGAGAGGUAUUUAUAAAAAUGUUUUUAAAAAAAGCAGGACCACAUCAGACAGGGUUGGGGCUUCAUCGCUUCGCCAAUCCUCCUCCAAUCUGACGUCGCAUUCAUUAGGAAGAGCGAGCAUUCCUCGCCGGCGUUUCACCUGGCAGGUCGCUGUCUGCUCUGUAAUUAGCUCAGGCAAGCUAUUGUUUCCAUGACAACAAAAGCAAGCAAGAGGCAGACAAAACACAGACGACAGGAGAGAAAGAGAAUGAGGAAAAUACGGCCCGGGUGGAAAUCUCGGACACAUCCACAAAACGCAAGAACGUGGAGCUGAAGAAAACGUUUGGCGGAGAGCGAGCAAGAAGGAGCGGUGACACGGAGCUCUGGAGAGAUUCCUCUCUGCCGUGGAAGCAGCUGUAGGACGCGAGCGAAUGGAAGAAGCUGGAUGGGACCCGGGGAUCGGCUUGAGUUAGCCACAUAUAAUGUUCAGGGGGACAUCUCCUGAUAGUCAUGCUUGAGAAACUGCAUGAGAAAAUGAUGUGCACCCAGGUGGUCAAAUGCUCUUUUUGUCUCCCAGCAGAGAACCAGUGCUGCUUUUAUUGCUGUUCAUCACUUUAAAGCAGGACCCAUGGCGGGUGUUUACGGCUCCUCGCUUCCCCUCGGUUCUGCAUGCUUCCAUGCUCCCCUUCGCCAAACGAGCAGGGGCUUUUGUUGUCGAGGGAGGGGGAAGGGGGGGAGUAAAAACUUGCAAAGGGGCUUAUCGAGUGUGGCGUGAAUAUGUGGCGUGUGAGUAAUAAACCAUGCAUCUAUUCACGUCAAGCCUCUCGGAGUCCAGACGAUUCAGCGUGCCGCUCGCGAGGAGCCCAUAUGGGCUCCCAGUUCAAUUUACACAACAACGAAACAAGAACACUCAAUUUAUUGUACGCCAUAUAUCAUACGAAUACAAUGGCGGCCCUAUCGGGCACGCGGGCUGGAGCAUAUUGUCGGCGGUCAUUAGGCCCAGAUUAAUACUUGCAUGGAUAUACACAAAGCCCAACAGAAUGAUAUUGCUCUGAGUUGGCAUCCAUAAAUUGUGGAGAUAUAGUGAUGCCAGAUAGAAGGCAUAUGGCCGUGGUAGGACACUGCUCCUUCUAAUUGAGAAGCAGAGCAAGCAGUCCAUAAAGAUGCCAAGACAUAGUUAAAUAUUUAUGUAGAUGAAUGGAGUAAUAAAUAAAUGGUUAAAUGAAUAAUGGCACGGCUAACGUGAUCGCAAGAGAUAAGUCGUGUUUUAUUCAGGACCUCUAACCCGUUUAGAGGGAAUAGAGGGCGUUAUUCUAAUGACUCGUUUGUUCCCUCCGUGUUAAAGUGAAGAGGUGGCGUUUUAAUGAAAGUGCAUUUUCAGUUAUCAGCUCAACAAUCUCAUGCCCCCAAUACAGUUUGACAGGCCCACUGUUCAAAGUUGCUUUUGGCGAUUUAAGGUGAUAUUUCUAUUUUUUUUUUUUCCCCAGGAAAAAUCAAUCCCUUGUUAAAUCCUUUUUUAAGUUAAUCUGCACAUCCCCGAGCUUCAUAUUGUUAUAUUAGUAUUCCUCUAUCUCAAAAAACAUUUCCUCCCUUUACAGACAGAUUAAAGCCGCCCUGUGCUUCCAUUCUGUGGGGAUAUUGUGUGUCUCCGGACUCCCCAAUGAGCGGGAGCAGAUUGCUGAUUCGGCAUGCCCUCUACAGGCCAACAGUGGAACUCAGCGUCUCUCGAGAAAGACGACAACUGUCCUCCAACAUCAUCUUAUCACAAACGAGUAUCAACAGAAGCAUUAUAAAUAAAUACAUAAAAAAAAGAAAUGAUAUUCAGUCUUAAAAUCAACAAGUACUAUAAUUCAAACCUCUUUAUUGUCAAAGGGAUUCAAGAGGAGGUGAAAGUGUGAAAAGCGGUCAGCGAUGUUUUACGGCAUUUUCAGAUACACUGCUGCGAGUGGACUCGUGGGAAAAGCUGUCAGCCGCAGAGACAUAGAGUCCCACUGUGAAGUCAGGACCACAGCAGACAUGAAGCUGUCCACAGCAUGCCGUCAAGACCCCACUCUUUGUCCUCUGGAUCCGUCCCUCUUCUGCCCAACCGGGAGAGACACGACUCCAUUCUACUGCAGUUCCAUUCACGCCCACUGACACAAUUAAUCAUAAACUAGUUCAAUCAUACAAAGUAUUCUCAUGAGAAGACGGUGCACAUUUGACGUCAAAUAUAAUCAUCACUGGUGUCCUCCGAGCCAACGUUAUUGGUCACUUGGCUGGUGACCCUGUUGAUCUCUGUGGGGGCCCUGGGAGUCUAUGCAGACCCCACUUGAAAAAAAAGCCGACUUUACCCUUAAGAAACACAAUUGCACGGCCGCAAACAAAACCAUUACAGGAUCCUAUCCCCAAAAACUCUUUUAAUUAAGCAAAGACAGUCGGCGCGACGACAGGACGCUUCUGUGUAAAACUGCGUGACAUUUGGUGGAGGAAAUCAUUUUCAUGGGGCAUUGUUGUCGGCGCUCGUGUGCUUGUUUGCCUGGGUGUUUGUGUGUGUGUGUGUGUGUUUGCCUGUGCAGGGCCGGGUGUGUAUUUGUCUAGCCUUUGAAGGCUCUGCCUUCCCCAGUGUGUCUUUAUUGUGGGGCAGCUGAGGCCCAGCCUGUAGCUCUGUCCAGCACCGGGGCCCAGACACCAGCUGCAUUCACCGUCACAGGCCCUCCGUCGCCUUUUGAUGUCCGCGCUGCUGCCCGGCACCCGGACCACACCAGAGACGCCGCGUAUCCACCAGCCAUCUUGAGUUCAAAAAAGAAAAAAGGAGGAGAGACAGAAACAACUCACUCCUAGUUCUGUGUUUUUUUAUUAUCUAACGGGAGAGGAGAAUUUGUUUGAUAUCUGUGGACAAAAAACAAGCUGUUGGGGUCUGGGCACUCUGGGGUGUCUGACUGAUUGACUGCAUGGGCAAAGUUCCCAGGGUCUGUCUUUGUGUCCAACUGCUUUUCAAACAGCCCCGGGCUUGAGAGAGUUUUGCCUCGAGCAGAAAAAAUGAUAAAUUAGAAUUACAUUUUACCAAAUCAGAGGGCCUAGGUUUGGACUAGAGAUGUGCAAGAAUGAAACGAGAUAGCCUUUCAUCACGUGGAAUCAAAGGACAAUGGUGUUGACGUGAACGUAUUUGUCCUUUGGAAGAGUAAUCAUAUGAAUAUGCAAAGUAAAAAAAUGAGACUUCCUGCUGCUGUGUUGAAGCAAUUGACAGCACACUUUUGAAUUUGAUUAUUUUUUUUUCUUCUUCUAGUUUGCAUUUUUGGACGUUAGUAUUGAAAUGCACAGCCGAAGACACUGCUAGUUGCUCUUGAUCGUGUGCAGUUUGUCCACUGAAUGCAGAGGAAUUACAAUUAUCUGUACUGUAGAUGGUUUAUAGCUUGAUUUAGAUUAAAGGACACAUUCGAUACAGUAAAUCAAAGCUUAAAAAUGAUACCGUGAUCACUCUUUGAGAGACGGCGAGGCGAGCACGGAGACGUCCGGCUCCGGAGGGGCCGGCAUCAAGCACACGGCCCCUUCGGAGAAAGGAAACGAGGGAAUAACGAAGGGGGAAACAAUGUGCACUGAUCCUAUUAUCCUCUGGGCUUUCAUAACCGAGGUUUUAUAGACAAUGUUUGGAUCCUGACCUCUGGAAUUCACCGGGCGCAGUGACAUUUCUCCUCUCCAGGCAGCGUCUGCUUUGCAGACGGAUGACACGGACGUCGGCGUAAACCCCGGAUAGCCGCUUUGCUUCACGAUCGUUGUUAGCCUUAAAGCCCUUGCGCAAGCAACUCAGGAAAAUGCCUAAUGGUCUUUAUCAUAAAUAUCAGUGCUGCAAAGGUUAUAGCUAGAUAGAUAUGUCCCCGCGCCCCAUUUAGUCGCACGGCAGACACUUUUGAGUGAUGGUGCCUCCAGAUGGGUCGAGCCACGCAGAUAGAGGAGGCUUAGAACUAAAUAACAAGUAGGUUACUCACAGGGUAAUCUCAAUGCAGGUGAAAUAUCUACUCUUGUGUAAAGGUUAUCUCAAUAUAACUUCUGCGUUGCUUCCUCAAACCUCCGCAGCCUCCUCGGUUAAAGUAACGGAUGACCUCGCCAUUUCACAACAGACUUGGAGCAGGACUCGUGGACACGUGACCCUCACGGAGACUCUGCAGCUGUCUCCUCCUCGGCUGGAGGGCCGUAGACGGACGGUUUACCCGGCUGAACUGUAAUCACAUGAUAAUUUCUAUUGACCAUCAUUGAUUUGCUAUUAGAGGACUAGUUUAACCUUGAUGUAUGGCAGCAGACUCGUCGAGUCCGAGGCCAUAAAGGGAUCAUUGACAAGCAGCAAUGGCCCUUCUCAACAUGCCCCCAAGGUCCCCUUCAGCACCGGAUCAAUAGCUGACCUCUAUGGCUAUUAUUUACUGGCAAUAGCAUUUCGCCCCUUUUUCUGGAAAUGAUGUACAGUAUCUGUCCGAAUGGAAAGGGGAUACAUUGUUCUUCACCUUGAGCUAAGAGGCUUAAACAGUCCGCAAAGAGAAAUAAAGGCAGGUGAAUAUAUCGCUGGUUCUUUUCUUGAUCGAUCCUUGUGUUAAUAAAAUAUAAGAAGUAUGGGAGUGUGGUGGACCGGUGGUUAAGACGCACACCGUUUACUGUAAUCGCAAUGUCUCCCUCACUUUGUUUCCCAUCAUCUUCUUACGUUGUCCUUUAAAUAAAGCCCAGAAUGUCCAAAAACAUUCUAGCAAAAUAAAUCCUGAAUAAAAAAUAGCAGAAAAUUGCACCACAAAACACCAUCACAUUCCCCUGGAUGAGGGCUUCUCUAUGUCAUAAGUACAUUCAUCUUUGUAUUAAUACUUUGUAGAAUCAUUGUGUGAACAUCACAAAAGUCAUGUGGUCGGUUGAAUGUUGAAUAAAAAUGCAAUCCAAAUGGAA
Non-coding RNA from Gasterosteus aculeatus aculeatus (three-spined stickleback), 5186 nucleotides. NCBI's taxonomy places the organism in Eukaryota, Metazoa, Chordata, Actinopteri, Perciformes, Gasterosteidae. The record is from RefSeq and is a predicted model, not a curated record.